AUUGAACGCUGGCGGCAGGCUUAACACAUGCAAGUCGAGCGGGGGAAGGUAGCUUGCUACCGGACCUAGCGGCGGACGGGUGAGUAAUGCUUAGGAAUCUGCCUAUUAGUGGGGGACAACAUCUCGAAAGGGAUGCUAAUACCGCAUACGUCCUACGGGAGAAAGCAGGGGAUCUUCGGACCUUGCGCUAAUAGAUGAGCCUAAGUCGGAUUAGCUAGUUGGAGGGGUAAAGGCCUACCAAGGCGACGAUCUGUAGCGGGUCUGAGAGGAUGAUCCGCCACACUGGGACUGAGACACGGCCCAGCUUCCUACGGGAGGCAGCAGUGGGGAAUAUUGGACAAUGGGGGGAGCCCUGAUCCAGCCAUGCCGCGUGUGUGAAGAAGGCCUUAUGGUUGUAAAGCACUUUAAGCGAGGAGGAGGCUACUUUAGUUAAUACCUAGAGAUAGUGGACGUUACUCGCAGAAUAAGCACCGGCUAACUCUGUGCCAGCCGCCGCUGUAA
This 501-nucleotide ribosomal RNA is filed under the name uncultured bacterium. RNAcentral's name for it is "partial 16S ribosomal RNA". It matches the Rfam family "Bacterial small subunit ribosomal RNA", at positions 30 to 523 of the family's 1533-position model. The record is from RNAcentral.